UACGUAGGGUGCGAGCGUUAAUCGGAUUUACUGGGCGUAAAGCGUGCGCAGGCGGCCCGUUAAGACAGGUGUGAAAUCCCUGGGCUCAACCUAGGAAUUGCGCUUGUGACUGGCGGGCUCGAGUACGGUAGAGGGGGGUGGAAUUCCUGGUGUAGCAGUGAAAUGCGUAGAGAUCAGGAGGAACGCCGAUGGCGAAGGCAGCCCCCUGGGCCUGUACUGACGCUCAUGCACGAAAGCGUGGGGAGCAAACAGG
RNAcentral lists this ribosomal RNA (253 nucleotides) under uncultured microorganism. RNAcentral describes it as "partial 16S ribosomal RNA". It matches the Rfam family "Bacterial small subunit ribosomal RNA", at positions 524 to 776 of the family's 1533-position model. The record is from RNAcentral.